GCUUUUGGAUAACCUAGUGGCGGACGGGUGAGUAACGCGUGAGUAACCUGCCUUUCAGAGGGGAAUAACAAUCUGAAAAGAUUGCUAAUACCGCAUAACAUCUAAUUGUCGCAUGGCAGAUAGAUCAAAGGAGCAAUCCGCUGAGAGAUGGACUCGCGUCCGAUUAACUAGUUGGAGGGGUAACGGCCCACCAAGGUGACGAUCGGUAGCCGGACUGAGAGGUUGAACGGCCACAUUGGGACUGAGACACGGCCCAGACUCCUACGGGAGGCAGCAGUGGGGGAUAUUGCACAAUGGGGGAAACCCUGAUGCAGCAACGCCGCGUGUGGGAAGAAGGUUUUCGGAUUGUAAACCACUGUUCUUAGCGAAGAAACAAAUGACGGUAACUAAGAAGAAAGCUCCGGCUAACUACGUGCCAGCAGCCGCGGUAAUACGUAGGGAGCGAGCGUUGUCCGGAUUUACUGGGUGUAAAGGGUGCGUAGGCGGGCCCGCAAGUCAGACGUGAAAGCCACAGGCUCAACCUGUGAAUUGCGUUUGAAACUGUGGGUCUUGAGUGAAGUAGAGGUAGGCGGAAUUCCCGGUGUAGCGGUGAAAUGCGUAGAGAUC
RNAcentral lists this ribosomal RNA (606 nucleotides) under uncultured bacterium. Its description in RNAcentral is "bacterial SSU rRNA". It matches the Rfam family "Bacterial small subunit ribosomal RNA", at positions 79 to 698 of the family's 1533-position model. The record is from RNAcentral.